Molecule: ribosomal RNA, 263 nt
Filed under: Providencia rettgeri
Lineage: Bacteria; Pseudomonadati; Pseudomonadota; Gammaproteobacteria; Enterobacterales; Morganellaceae
Description: partial 16S ribosomal RNA
Rfam family: Bacterial small subunit ribosomal RNA
Source: RNAcentral
UAAUUGAAGAGUUUGAUCAUGGCUCAGAUUGAACGCUGGCGGCAGGCCUAACACAUGCAAGUCGAGCGGUAACAGGGGAAGCUUGCUUCUCGCUGACGAGCGGCGGACGGGUGAGUAAUGUAUGGGGAUCUGCCCGAUAGAGGGGGAUAACUACUGGAAACGGUAGCUAAUACCGCAUAAUCUCUCAGGAGCAAAGCAGGGGAACUUCGGUCCUUGCGCUAUCGGAUGAACCCAUAUGGGAUUAGCUAGUAGGUGAGGUAAUG